UGCUUGAACAGACGUGAAAUGAG
This 23-nucleotide non-coding RNA is filed under the name Rattus norvegicus (Norway rat). Lineage: Eukaryota; Metazoa; Chordata; Mammalia; Rodentia; Muridae. The record is from RNAcentral.